Physcomitrium patens is the source of this 4458-nucleotide RNA transcript. RefSeq lists it as uncharacterized. The record is from RefSeq and is a predicted model, not a curated record. NCBI's taxonomy places the organism in Eukaryota, Viridiplantae, Streptophyta, Bryopsida, Funariales, Funariaceae.
UUCUUUUUUUUUUUACCUGGUUUCACUCGUAAUCUAAUCCAUGUUGCGAGUUCAAGGUCCGAUCCCUGCCUCGAUGACUACUGGAACUAUUCUCUGGGAAACAUCAAUUCUAUAACCUCUCCCCGAAACUCACAAAUCGGCCUUUACUUCGAUGCCUCAUCACACGGUGCCCAUCCAAAUUGUGUGCGUUCGAGGGGCAACAUUCAAGCAGCCAUCAAGACGGAAAUCAAUACAAAUCACUUCAGUCUUGCUGCUGGGGAUUAAUUGAACAUGACGUUUGAUCAGCUGGUGUGUGAGUUGGGUUCCAGGCCUGGGGAGAGGUGGUUCAGGGACGGCAGAUUCUCAAGCUCACCCAUGAGACAACUUAAGCGUGACAACGAGGGUGUGUGCUGACGGAUGUGAUAUCUAAUUUGGCCUUGGGGAGAUCAUAGAAAUGGGAGAAUGAGUGGGUGGGGAUAGUGCUGGUGGGUCCUGCUCGUAUGUGCACUGCUGGAAGGAUUACGCCUAUUCCCACUACACUGACCCCGGCCCGCCUUUGCCUUCGCCUUGCCUCGAUUUUUAGUUUCGUCGUGGCUUGAGAUUUGGGUCGGAUCGGAUAGUAGACCACCUCGUCGCCAACCUUGUGUCUGAUGGGUCCUCUCUCUAUUUACUGGUAGCGUUGUUGUCUUUGUUUGUAGACAAAACUUUGUAGGAGAAAUCCUGGAUGGAAGGAGCAGUCAUGGCGGAGAACAGAAACGACUGCUCAACAAUACUCUUCACUCGUUUGCAAGAACAAACCUUCACCAUGUGAUUUGCUUCGCGGGGCAGAGCACACGACAGAGAAGCAUGUGCCUGUGACCGCGCGCGCGUACUUCAGAGAGAGAGAGAGUGAGGGAGAGAGACAGAGGGAGACAGAGAAGAGAUGGUGUUGUUUUCUAAUUUUUAAUUGCCUCCUUGUUGUGGUCACGUCACAUCGCUUUGUCUGCUGCGUCUUCCCAGUCUUGCUUCGUUCUUUCCCGGGUCAUCAUAUCUCAGCUCCUGCGUAUGUAGCCUUGGAUUGGAAGUUGUGUUAUGCCGCUGCAUCGACAUCGAUUUUUUCGGGAGAUGGAGAGAGUGAUGCUGGCUCAAUGCGUUUCUGGGGCAGUAGUGGCUCGAGGUGAUGGCACAGUAGAGCAGAGAAGACGUUAGGUUGUAGGGUGAUAUGGUCUUGGCUGUGAUAGGUUGAUGUUGGAGGAUUAAAAUAUAUGAAAGAAUUGACGAUGGUUCUGCUGUUGCGGCGAGAAAGAGACUUCUGAAGAGGCUAGAGUGCAGCAACCCUGUCGAGAGUGGUGUCUUGGUGUCGUGAUGGUGAAUGUGUGAACACGUGGGUGAUAUUGCGGGAUGCCUUGUCGAGGAGGGUGAGCAGCUGUGGUUGCAGUGCAAUUGCGGUGUGGUCGUUCAAGACGUUUCUUGAGGUGAAACUGGACCUCGUGAACUCUGUGGGGUUAUAUUGCGCAAGAGAAGUGUAUUUUGUUCAAAAUUGCUUCCCUGCGUAGGACGGCUUGAGAGUUUGGUGUACACGCAAACAGUGCGGGACUGAUAACAGUUGUCGGACUAUGAGUCUCUAUGUGCCAGAGCGGGAAAGGAGUGGCGGAAUGCUUGAUGCUGUUAUUCCGUUAAAUGACUUUCACAGAUCAAAGAAGAGCCAUUUCUCUCAAUUGGCAUUAGCACCUGUGCCUGAUCAGGAUACUUUGGAAGUGGCUUGGAAUGAUAAUGGAAAAAUAGACAUCCAAGGACAAGAUAGUCAAAGGAGCAAAUCUCCAUGGCAGAUAAACUGCAUCUCGGAUUGGAGCAGUGGACAGGAAGCUGAAGCUGGAGUGACACCCAGUAAACCUGAUACUCCGAAGGGUGGAAAUUUACUGGAGACUGGAGGAAAUGGAUCAAAUACGGCACCCAAUCCAGUACACAACAUUGAUGUUGAUAACGACGAAAUGGUGUCUUGGUUACAGUAUCCACUGGAUGAUCCCUUCUGCUCUGAUUUUUUUGGAGAGAUUCAAGAAGCCAACACGCAGUUGUUGAGAGAAUCGUUUACGCAUGGUUCCACUAAGACAUUGCCCCGCACUAAUUUUCCCGGAGCUUCAGGGAAUGAUGCUGGAAUUAACAGGGAAACCCCUUCCGAUUCUGCCAUGUUAUUAGGUGUUGGCCGUGUUUCAGGUUUAUUACCUCAGGGUGGAGUAGAAGCCUUCAACAAAGUACGUUCUCUGCACUCCCUACAACAACAUUCUUCUCUUCCCAGAUGGCCACAACCGCUCACCCCCAAUUCAUCAAGUGGUUCAAGUUUAUUAGCGACAAAUAAUUUGACAUUCACAAAAGCAUCUGCACCUACAUUGGCAUCUCCCUCCCAUCACAUGUUGCCCCCUAAAACACAGCGUGUAGCCCCCGUCCUUAAUUCGCAGAAUACACCUCAACCUAGCAGUCCUGGUUCCAUGAAUUUCUCUCACUUUUCGAGGCCAGCGGCGAUGGUUAAAGCUAAUUUGCAUAGUCUGGUAGGCAUAAACUGUGGUCCACCUCCCAGUACACGUGUCAAGCAGCAGCACAACUCUCCUGUUGUAAGGCCGAUUAUGGAGGCGUGCACAUCAACUGGUUCUUCGAUUGCCGAAUCCACCACAGCAGGGCAGGGACCAUCUGGGUCCUAUCAGGAGGUGAAGACGCAACCUGCGGUUUUGGAGAGGGAACAGAACAAUGGCAUUGAGGAAUCUAGAUGGCCAUCUGCACCUUGUCCGUCACCGACAAAGGAUAGUGACUGUGUUGUUUCAGAAGGAAAUUUUAGGAGCACACCCCCGGAUCAAGAAACUUGCCGGCUAUCAGGUGUGACUAAUGGUGCUGUAUUAGCUUCUUCUGAUAAAGGAGCUUCUCAUGGUACACAACACCCCGAUGUACAGGAGCCAACCAUCACUUCCUCCUCAGGUGGAUAUGGGACCAGCAUUGAACCGCUUCAAAAGGUUAGAACAAGUAACAAAAGAAAGUGUAGCGAAAGAGAAGAGACCGAAUGCCAAAGUGAAGACGGCGAAGACGAGUCGGUAGACACAAAACAUAAACCUAUUACAACUGGUCGUGGAAGUACUACUAAAAGAAGCAGGGCUGCCGAAGUCCACAAUCAGUCCGAAAGACGUCGAAGAGACAGAAUCAACGAAAAAAUGAGAGCACUACAGGAGCUUAUCCCAAACUCUAACAAGACGGACAAGGCAUCCAUGCUGGACGAGGCAAUUGAUUAUCUAAAAAUUCUUCAGCUUCAGCUCCAGAUGAUGUCAAUCAGGACGGGUAUGACUUUGCCACCAAUGGUUAUGCCUCCUGGAUUACAACACAUGCAGAUGCCGCAGAUGCCGCAGGUGGCAGCAAUGCCGUCCAUGGGGAUGGUGCAAAUGGGACUUGGGAUGGGAAUGAUGGAGCAGGCUGCACAAAGACGAACAAGAAUGCCUAUGCAGUCUCAUACAGGGCCACCUCUCAAUGUUUGUUUGGCAAACACAUCUUCUAUGGUUGAUGUACAUGACCUCCGCUAUCAACAGCCAGGCGUUUUGGGUUAUAAUACCAGCAUGUCUCGUCAGCAUCAGCCAAUGCAAACGACCAAGGGUCUAGACCUUGACAAGUGUAAUGCUUAUAUGUUGCAGCAGCAUCAACUUCUAUUUCAACAGCAACAACUUCAGCAGCACCAACUUCAUCAACAUCAACAGCAUCUGCAACACCACCAGCGGGCUCCUAAUAUGGGUGGAGGUCCACUUCAAUAAUGAUAAGAAUUGUUAUGGAAAGUUGACCGAAUGACCGUGCUUGCAAAGGUCUCGAAAAUUUGGUGAACGUGGACAAGUUGAUGCAGUCUUUGUAACGAAGCAGAAUGUAAACUUGGUGGCCCUUUGGAAAUGGACUUCAAGAGCCGGAUAUGUGUUUAGCACCCUCUUCUGCACAAUGGACUGAAUCAAAGCUGAAGAAUUCUAAGCUUUGGACUGACAAAUGGAGCAGUGCAAACUCUUGGAGAAGUAAUUGUAUGAAACUUGGAGUCCCAGCUUAAGCAACAUUGUCGAAUCUCUGAGCGACUUCUAUACUGAAGAUGCGAGCUGAUAGAUAGAAUCCUGAUGCAAGGCUUCCAUGCCAACGAUGCACAGCUGAUGUUGCUUCUGCGUCAUCGAUGGCACAAGUGGCAAGAAUCUCCUCGAGCUGUUUCAAGACCUCCACCAUUCCGAAACGGAUCUCCGAUUGCAGGAAUCUUAAUGAUAAAGGAUUCUACUCCUGAUCAGCGGCAACAACAUGAAACCUCAUUCUGCAUGGGUAAGCAGAUAUUUCUAGAACUUUGGUGCAGAUUCCAUGGAAGUAAAUCCUGCCGUACUUGUUCAACUGUUAAGUUGCAGAUCAGUCAAUCAAGUUUAACCAUGAAAUCACAACAGGAAGUACCCAUGUUUAUUUUUCUAUAUAUUUUAUUCGAUUUAACCCUCACUCUUUUUGUUUUUA